RNAcentral lists this ribosomal RNA (253 nucleotides) under uncultured bacterium. Its description in RNAcentral is "partial 16S ribosomal RNA". It matches the Rfam family "Bacterial small subunit ribosomal RNA", at positions 524 to 776 of the family's 1533-position model. The record is from RNAcentral.
UACGUAGGGUGCAAGCGUUGUCCGGAAUUAUUGGGUGUAAAGAGCUCGUAGGCGGUCUGUCGCGUCUGCUGUGAAAACUCAGGGCUUAACCCUGAGCUUGCAGUGGGUACGGGCAGACUAGAGUGCGGUAGGGGAGACUGGAAUUCCUGGUGUAGCGGUGAAAUGCGCAGAUAUCAGGAGGAACACCGGUGGCGAAGGCGGGUCUCUGGGCCGUAACUGACGCUGAGGAGCGAAAGCAUGGGGAGCGAACAGG